AACGAACGCUGGCGGCAUGCCUAACACAUGCAAGUCGAACGAAGGCUUCGGCCUUAGUGGCGAACGGGUGCGUAACGCGUGGGAAUCUGCCCUUUGGUUCGGAAUAACAGCUGGAAACGGCUGCUAAUACCGGAUGAUGACGAAAGUCCAAAGAUUUAUCGCCAGAGGAUGAGCCCGCGUUGGAUUAGGUAGGUGGUGGGGUAAAGGCCUACCAAGCCGACGAUCCAUAGCUGGUCUGAGAGGAUGAUCAGCCACACUGGGACUGAGACACGGCCCAGACUCCUACGGGAAGCAGCAGUGGGGAAUAUUGGACAAUGGGCGCAAGCCUGAUCCAGCAAUGCCGCGUGAGUGAUGAAGGCCCUAGGGUUGUAAAGCUCUUUUACCCGGGAAGAUAAUGACUGUACCGGGAGAAUAAGCCCCGGCUAACUCCGUG
RNAcentral lists this ribosomal RNA (433 nucleotides) under uncultured bacterium. RNAcentral describes it as "partial 16S ribosomal RNA". It matches the Rfam family "Bacterial small subunit ribosomal RNA", at positions 29 to 507 of the family's 1533-position model. The record is from RNAcentral.